GAGCGCGGUGGCCACGGAACGCUGCCCGGAGCCGCGCGAGGGAGGACCCGACGCGCGGCGUUUACCCAGCGCAGCGUUCCACCGCUCGGGUUUGGCUGGGCCCUUCACCUUCGUGCCUCGGGGACUCCCUGGCAGAGACAACGUUGUCUGAGGAUACCACAGACUCCGUUGGCAGCGCUUCUCCCCAUGGCUCGAGUGAAAAGAGUAGCAGCUUCUCUCUGUCCUCAACAGAGGUACACAUGGUCCGCCCAGGAUAC
Molecule: long non-coding RNA, 257 nt
Filed under: Homo sapiens (human)
Lineage: Eukaryota; Metazoa; Chordata; Mammalia; Primates; Hominidae
Description: non-protein coding lnc-LCP1-2:1
Source: RNAcentral